AGAGUUUGAUCCUGGCUCAGGAUGAACGCUAGCGGCAGGCUUAAUACAUGCAAGUCGAGGGGCAGCAUGAGUGUAGCAAUACAUUUGAUGGCGACCGGCAAACGGGUGCGGAACACGUACGCAACUUUCCUCUAAGCGGGGCAUAGCUCGGAGAAAUCCGGAUUAAUACCCCAUAACAUUGCAGAUAGGCAUCUAUCAACAAUUAAAGAUUUAUCACUUAGAGAUGGGCGUGCGGCUGAUUAGGUAGUUGGCGGGGUAACGGCCCACCAAGCCUGCGAUCAGUAACUGGUGUGAGAGCACGACCAGUCACACGGGCACUGAGACACGGGCCCGACUCCUACGGGAGGCAGCAGUAAGGAAUAUUGGUCAAUGGACGAAAGUCUGAACCAGCCAUGCCGCGUGGAGGAUGAAGGCCCUCUGGGUUGUAAACUUCUUUUAUCUGGGACGAAAAAGGGACUUUCUAGUUCAACUGACGGUACCAGAGGAAUAAGCACCGGCUAACUCCGUGCCAGCAGCCGCGGUAAUACGGAGGGUGCAAGCGUUAUCCGGAUUCACUGGGUUUAAAGGGUGCGUAGGUGGGCAGGUAAGUCAGUGGUGAAAUCUCUGGGC
RNAcentral lists this ribosomal RNA (609 nucleotides) under uncultured bacterium. Its description in RNAcentral is "bacterial SSU rRNA". It matches the Rfam family "Bacterial small subunit ribosomal RNA", at positions 8 to 608 of the family's 1533-position model. The record is from RNAcentral.